RNAcentral lists this ribosomal RNA (463 nucleotides) under uncultured bacterium. Its description in RNAcentral is "partial 16S ribosomal RNA". It matches the Rfam family "Bacterial small subunit ribosomal RNA", at positions 30 to 507 of the family's 1533-position model. The record is from RNAcentral.
CGAACGCUGGCGGCGUGCUUAACACAUGCAAGUCGAACGGAAAGGCCCUGCUUGCAGGGUACUCGAGUGGCGAACGGGUGAGUAACACGUGGGUGAUCUGCCCUGCACUUCGGGAUAAGCCUGGGAAACUGGGUCUAAUACCGGAUAGGAGCCAUUUUUAGUGUGAUGGUUGGAAAGUUUUUUCGGUGUACGAUGAGCUCGCGGCCUAUCAGCUUGUUGGUGGGGUAAUGGCCUACCAAGGCGGCGACGGGUAGCCGGCCUGAGAGGGUGGACGUCCACAUUGGGACUGAGAUACGGCCCAGACUCCUACGGGAGGCAGCAGUGGGGAAUAUUGCACAAUGGGCGCAAGCCUGAUGCAGCGACGCCGCGUGGGGGAUGACGGCCUUCGGGUUGUAAACUCCUUUCGCUAGGGACGAAGCUUUUUGUGACGGUACCUAGAUAAGAAGCACCGGCUAACUACGUG